GUGGGGAAUUUUGGACAAUGGGCGAAAGCCUGAUCCAGCCAUGCCGCGUGUGUGAAGAAGGCCUUUUGGUUGUAAAGCACUUUAAGCGAGGAGGAGGCUCCUUUAGUUAAUACCUAAAGAGAGUGGACGUUACUCGUAGAAUAAGCACCGGAUAACUCUGUGCCAGCAGCCGCGGUAAUACAGAGGGUGCGAGCGUUAAUCGGAUUUAUUGGGCGUAAAGCGUGCGUAGGCGGCUUUUUAAGUCGGAUGUGAAAACCCUGAGCUUAACUUAGGAAUUGCAUUCGAUACUGUAAAGCUAUAGUAUGGGAGAGGAUGGUAGAAUUCCAGGUGUAGCGGUGAAAUGCGUAGAGAUCUGGAGGAAUACCGAUGGCGAAGGCAGCCAUCUGGCCUAAUACUGACGCUGAGGUACGAAAGCAUGGGGAGCAAACAGGAUUAGAUACCCCUGUAGUCC
This 451-nucleotide ribosomal RNA is filed under the name uncultured bacterium. Its description in RNAcentral is "partial 16S ribosomal RNA". It matches the Rfam family "Bacterial small subunit ribosomal RNA", at positions 354 to 796 of the family's 1533-position model. The record is from RNAcentral.